UGUGAUCAUAAACACCUGUACCAGCUUUUGGUUGAAAUUACUUGCCACAUGAGAAGGGUGAAAGCGAAGCACAAUCUUUUCUCCUCUUUUCUUUUUCUUUUCUUUUCUUUUGAAAAAAUAGAGGGAAUGGAGCACCUUAUUCUCAUGAGGACCUUUUGGGGGCUGUGGUCUGCAUUCUGAUGUCGUAGAACUUGCCAGCCUCCUCUCUCAGAUUCCUCAAUGAUAUCUUAGUUUGAGAACCAAUUCCAGUCUCCACUGAGUUUCUGGCCUCCAGUUUGCUGAAAUGAAAGGGCGGGCAACAUUGGCGGUCGAUCAGUUGUUGUCAGGAACUCAGGAUCCAUUGCGGUCCGUGAUCACAUGAGUUAUAUUGUUUCAUCCUCUUACACUGUUGGGCUGUAUGCAUUGAGAAGCAAGGGAGGGACACAGCAUCCGGAAGAAGAAUUGCACAAAGCUUUGCAUAGAGAUAAAGCGGAGGUGGCCAUUGUAUAACUCUUUGAUGCCUUCUUGCAUUGGGACUGCACAAAGGCAACGAAUGGAAUAACAGAAUAAGCAUAGAAUUCCCCUUUGUCUCCUUUGGUAAGUUUGGCACCUGUUUAGGUUAGCUACUAGGCAGCCAGGCCAAAGGGAUGGUAAGGCAAUGGUCAUAGGCUGUAUCCGUGUGAACUUUGAAGCCGAUGCCGUAACUUCACUGUUGUACAUAGGGCACACAAAAGCGAGCUUAAAAUGGAGCCCUGGUUCUUGGAUUGCCCUGCAUCCUUCUUCUUUUGCUUUAUGCUUGCACUUGUUUCUGACCAUGAUAUGUCCUCCAUGCUGUGAUGCAGAGAUGCUUCUUCUUACAUGAGUAACUGCAUGGGCUCUGGCUUUUGGCCUUUGCCUUCCAGAUGGUCGUGUGUCCCACAUAGCUAUCUAGUUAUGAUGCAUACGUCGUGAGCACGCAUGAUUGCAUCAGCGUAAUUUCUAGUCUCCUUGGCCAGGGCACGCAUGUGAAUGAAGAAGAAAAAGGAAAAGCAGGGUUAGUUGCAGCUGCAGCUGCAGCAUCUCUAGGCUCUGCUGUUUCUGGGAGCAGAGUGACCGGUUUCUAUCCUGAUAAGAGUAAAAGGUGGCCUAUUAUUGUUUUGUUUUUGCUUCUUUGUUCUUUUGUUUUAUUAGAGAAUUUUUUUUGUCUUUUAUUGGGCUCAUUUUUAGGUUUCAAAUUACAAGUUGUUUUUAGCUUCGUUAUAUGUCAAACUUCUCUCAUUUUAACCAAGUUUAUGGAAAAAAAUCAACAGACAACUAUGAUAUCAAAUAAGAUUUUUUUUUUGAAGCUCAGCAGGGGGGGAAUUUUCCCCACCUGGUAAAUAAGAUCAAUUAGAUACACCAUCAAACAUAUUUUGCAUUUAUUUGAUACCGUAGAUGCUAAUUUUUUUUCUUCAAACUUGGGCAAAACUAAAACAGACUUGCAAUCCGCGGCAGAGGGAGUAAGACAGCAGUGUGUGCUCACUUAAUAUAUACACAUACUGUUUGCUUCAGGUGUGAAGAAGUUACGGAGGCGACACGUGCACCAAGAACGAUAAUGUCAUUGCGUACUGCGUUCAAUUCAAGUACUGGAAAAGCUUGACAAGGAGCCCGAAUAGAUGUGUUCUCUUCGAAUAAGUUGGUGAGGGAAUAAUCCUUGCGACUAAUAACCAAGCGAUAUAUAUAGCCACCACCAGGGUACGGGCAGCACUUAUAUAUAUAUAUAUCCUAUAUACUACGAUAAGCAACGAGGCCGGCCCCUGAUCCUGAGCGAUCGAUCCAUAUAUAUGGUAUCUAUACCAUGACAGUACUUCACUGUUGAGGAAUUGAAGCGAGGUCGAGGCAUGUGUGCGCUGCAUAUGUUCCGUUUCCAAAUAGCUGCUGAGGAGUAGUACAUGAUUCCCUGAGCAUUGGCUCCGAUGAGUUGCCCUGCCAGCAAAGAUGACCGGCCGGCCGAUGAACAUAAGAAGAAACCGAUGGAGACCACGUCGUAUAUAUUCGCCGGGCAUUAGUUGGGGUUCCUUCGCCUACAGUUUGAUUGCAGAUGCCUCCGUAGAGUGGAGUGGAAUUAAUCAGCUCAUCGACCAAGGCCGUAACUUUUGCUGUUCUCCCUUUUCCCUUGUUCCAUCCUUAUAUAUUAUUAUAGAUACAUAUUUGGCGAAAGAUUGCGUGAAUACAUUCGGUCGUUACUUGUUUAAGCGUUUGGGUAUCAUAUGCUCUUGUUUCUCUGGAUCCCCUUUCCCCCAUGUCUUUGCAAAUUGCAGCAAGCUGCUGCUAGCUCUUGGUGUGGUGGCGGUUUCAUCUUGCUGCGCGGGCCGGCUCGUGACAGGGAAUAUGGGAAAGAGGCCGGGAAUUGUAUUGACAAAGCUGGAGGAGGAAUCACGUUCAAGCAAGGGACUUUACACGGCCUC
Long non-coding RNA from Sorghum bicolor (sorghum), 2405 nucleotides. RefSeq lists it as uncharacterized. The transcript is spliced from 2 exons. NCBI's taxonomy places the organism in Eukaryota, Viridiplantae, Streptophyta, Magnoliopsida, Poales, Poaceae. The record is from RefSeq and is a predicted model, not a curated record.